AUCCAGGUGACGAGUCUCAACUAAGACGAAACGCGCAUCCUGAAU
This is a non-coding RNA of Schistosoma haematobium, 45 nucleotides long. The record is from Rfam. NCBI's taxonomy places the organism in Eukaryota, Metazoa, Platyhelminthes, Trematoda, Strigeidida, Schistosomatidae.